Long non-coding RNA from Dromaius novaehollandiae (emu), 461 nucleotides. RefSeq lists it as uncharacterized. The record is from RefSeq and is a predicted model, not a curated record. NCBI's taxonomy places the organism in Eukaryota, Metazoa, Chordata, Aves, Casuariiformes, Dromaiidae. The transcript has 2 exons.
AAAUACUCAUGGCUUCUACGUGAAUUUAGUAGUUUAAAACUUUUGAAGGUUAUUUAUGUGGAUGGCCCGAAGCAGAAGCCCUGAGUGGCUCUCCGCGAGCACGUGAUGUCAUUAAACUAAGUUUUAUGGUUUGGGGGAGCUGACAAACCCACAAUAUAUUUACAUCAUAUAUAAUCUUAACUGUCCGGCGUCGCAGCUGCUCGCGCUGGCGAGCGGCGGGGCAGCGGGACCGGGCGCGGAGCGCGGAGCGCGGCGGCAUCGCGGCUCCCCGGCACCGGCCACCUCCCAGAAGCAGCAGCCACCGCAAACACAACUCGCAGCCAAGAGCACAAAGAGCCCCGACCAUUUCGCUGUGACUGAUUUAUGGCGUUUUACAACCCCAUAAAAAGCUGUAACAACCAGCCAAAAGCCUUCGACACCGCUGGCACAUUUAGUCUAAUAAAUAAAACAUAAACAGUUAA